This is a long non-coding RNA of Thunnus maccoyii (southern bluefin tuna), 827 nucleotides long. RefSeq lists it as uncharacterized. The record is from RefSeq and is a predicted model, not a curated record. NCBI's taxonomy places the organism in Eukaryota, Metazoa, Chordata, Actinopteri, Scombriformes, Scombridae. The transcript has 2 exons.
GGAAACCCCGGCGCCCUGCAGUCGAUGAUAGAUUACCUCGGCUUUAUCUCAGCCGGCUGAUUAUUCCUCCUCUAUCAUGAAACCUAAAUCUUAGCGGGGAUGUGAUCGUCUUGUAAUGUGGUCUGAAAUAGCUUGAUUAUGCUCAGGUUCAUUUUUACUUUGUUAUCAGUCUGGAUUACACUCGUCACAUUUCAGCAGCAAUCUGUUUGUCAUUACAGGUGAUGCCAUCAUACUGAGACUUCCUGCUUGAAAGAUGUAUCGCGGAGGCAGGAGAUGCACCUUCAUUACACGGCGUAACCCUAAUAGCUGUCACACAGUUGUCUUAUUUGCAGGAGACAUUAUGCAUUAGAUAUAAUCACGAUGAACAUGACAGGAAUUAAGCAGCUUCCUCGUUGGUAUCCAUAUCAUCAUCAGCGAGAGAGCUUCAGGAGAAUGACCUAUUUAAACCAUCUAUCACAGCAUUAUUAAGCCAACAAUCGCUCACACAGCCAGGCUCCGCCAUGUCUAAAGAUAAGUUGGCUUCCUGAGUGCUGAAGUUUGCUGCCAGCCCACUCCAUGAUGGUGGCUCAGAGAGUGCUGCUGCAUGAUGAUGAGUAAAGUGUAAACUGACUGGAGGAAGCAAGCAAAUUGCAGUGCAGCAGACCCUCGGCCUCAGACAAGAAGAGAGACAGUGAGCCUUGGACUGUUUUCCUUUCCCUUUCUGCUCAUUGUGAUAUUGACUUGUUACUUUAAAAAGUUUAGAAAAAGAGUAUUGCAACAAGCUCCAAAUAUUCCCCUCUGGUUUUGAUAUGUUUUAUAGGAAAAACUAAACUAAGCUUUUAAACCUU